CCUACGGGAGGCAGCAGUGGGGAAUUUUGGACAAUGGGCGAAAGCCUGAUCCAGCCAUGCCGCGUGAGUGAAGAAGGCCUUCGGGUUGUAAAGCUCUUUCAGCCGGAAAGAAAUCGCGCAGGCUAAUACUCUGCGUGGAUGACGGUACCGGAAGAAGAAGCACCGGCUAACUACGUGCCAGCAGCCGCGGUAAUACGUAGGGUGCGAGCGUUAAUCGGAAUUACUGGGCGUAAAGCGUGCGCAGGCGGUUAUAUAAGACAGAUGUGAAAUCCCCGGGCUCAACCUGGGAACUGCGUUUGUGACUGUAUGACUAGAGUACGGCAGAGGGAGGUGGAAUUCCGCGUGUAGCAGUGAAAUGCGUAGAUAUGCGGAGGAACACCGAUGGCGAAGGCAGCCUCCUGGGCCAGUACUGACGCUCAUGCACGAACGACGGUGGGGUAGGACGAACGAAGGAGUAGUACUACCGUACGGUACGUACCGACCGACCCGUAACCGUACUAGUCUAACUAGUUGUUCGGUUGGUAGGAGACGU
RNAcentral lists this ribosomal RNA (532 nucleotides) under uncultured bacterium. RNAcentral describes it as "bacterial SSU rRNA". It matches the Rfam family "Bacterial small subunit ribosomal RNA", at positions 338 to 855 of the family's 1533-position model. The record is from RNAcentral.